RNAcentral lists this ribosomal RNA (484 nucleotides) under uncultured bacterium. RNAcentral's name for it is "partial 16S ribosomal RNA". It matches the Rfam family "Bacterial small subunit ribosomal RNA", at positions 30 to 507 of the family's 1533-position model. The record is from RNAcentral.
AUUGAACGCUGGCGGAAUGCUUUACACAUGCAAGUCGAACGGCAGCACGGGGGCAACCCUGGUGGCGAGUGGCGAACGGGUGAGUAAUACAUCGGAACGUGCCCGGUCGUGGGGGAUAACGUAGCGAAAGUUACGCUAAUACCGCAUACGAUCUGAGGAUGAAAGCGGGGGACCUUCGGGCCUCGCGCGAUCGCAGCGGCCGAUGUCGGAUUAGGUAGUUGGUGGGGUAAAGGCCUACCAAGCCGACGAUCUGUAGCUGGUCUGAGAGGACGACCAGCCACACUGGGACUGAGACACGGCCCAGACUCCUACGGGAGGCAGCAGUGGGGAAUUUUGGACAAUGGGCGCAAGCCUGAUCCAGCCAUUCCGCGUGCAGGACGAAGGCCUUCGGGUUGUAAACUGCUUUUGUAUGGAACGAAAAGGCUCUGGCUAAUACCUGGGGCUCAUGACGGUACCGAAAGAAUAAGCACCGGCUAACUACGUG